Molecule: ribosomal RNA, 253 nt
Filed under: uncultured bacterium
Lineage: Bacteria
Description: partial 16S ribosomal RNA
Rfam family: Bacterial small subunit ribosomal RNA
Source: RNAcentral
GACAGAGGGUGCAAACGUUGUUCGGAAUUACUGGGCGUAAAGCGCGUGUAGGCGGCAGUGUAAGUCGGAUGUGAAAGCCCACGGCUCAACCGUGGAAGUGCACCCGAAACUACACAGCUAGAGUAUCGGAGAGGAAGGUGGAAUGCUUGGUGUAGAGGUGAAAUUCGUAGAUAUCAAGCGGAACACCGGUGGCGAAGGCGGCCUUCUGGACGAUUACUGACGCUGAGACGCGAAAGCGUGGGGAGCAAACAGG